AAUCAACCGAGAUUCCCCCAGUAGCGGCGAGCGAACGGGGAGGAGCCCAGAGCCUGAAUCAGUGUGUGUGUUAGUGGAAGCGUCUGGAAAGGCGCGCGAUACAGGGUGACAGCCCCGUACACAAAAAUGCACAUAUUGUGAGCUCGAUGAGUAGGGCGGGACACGUGGUAUCCUGUCUGAAUAUGGGGGGACCAUCCUCCAAGGCUAAAUACUCCUGACUGACCGAUAGUGAACCAGUACCGUGAGGGAAAGGCGAAAAGAACCCCGGCGAGGGGAGUGAAAAAGAACCUGAAACCGUGUACGUACAAGCAGUGGGAGCCUCUUUAUGGGGUGACUGCGUACCUUUUGUAUAAUGGGUCAGCGACUUAUAUUCUGUAGCAAGGUUAACCGAAUAGGGGAGCCGAAGGGAAACCGAGUCUUAACUGGGCGUUAAGUUGCAGGGUAUAGACCCGAAACCCGGUGAUCUAGCCAUGGGCAGGUUGAAGGUUGGGUAACACUAACUGGAGGACCGAACCGACUAAUGUUGAAAAAUUAGCGGAUGACUUGUGGCUGGGGGUGAAAGGCCAAUCAAACCGGGAGAUAGCUGGUUCUCCCCGAAAGCUAUUUAGGUAGCGCCUCGUGAAUUCAUCUCCGGGGGUAGAGCACUGUUUCGGCAAGGGGGUCAUCCCGACUUACCAACCCGAUGCAAACUGCGAAUACCGGAGAAUGUUAUCACGGGAGACACACGGCGGGUGCUAACGUCCGUCGUGAAGAGGGAAACAACCCAGACCGCCAGCUAAGGUCCCAAAGUCAUGGUUAAGUGGGAAACGAUGUGGGAAGGCCCAGACAGCCAGGAUGUUGGCUUAGAAGCAGCCAUCAUUUAAAGAAAGCGUAAUAGCUCACUGGUCGAGUCGGCCUGCGCGGAAGAUGUAACGGGGCUAAACCAUGCACCGAAGCUGCGGCAGCGACACUAUGUGUUGUUGGGUAGGGGAGCGUUCUGUAAGCCUGUGAAGGUGGCCUGUGAGGGUUGCUGGAGGUAUCAGAAGUGCGAAUGCUGACAUAAGUAACGAUAAAGCGGGUGAAAAGCCCGCUCGCCGGAAGACCAAGGGUUCCUGUCCAACGUUAAUCGGGGCAGGGUGAGUCGACCCCUAAGGCGAGGCCGAAAGGCGUAGUCGAUGGGAAACAGGUUAAUAUUCCUGUACUUGGUGUUACUGCGAAGGGGGGACGGAGAAGGCUAUGUUGGCCGGGCGACGGUUGUCCCGGUUUAAGCGUGUAGGCUGGUUUUCCAGGCAAAUCCGGAAAACCAAGGCUGAGGCGUGAUGACGAGGCACUACGGUGCUGAAGCGACAAAUGCCCUGCUUCCAGGAAAAGCCUCUAAGCAUCAGGUAACAUCAAAUCGUACCCCAAACCGACACAGGUGGUCAGGUAGAGAAUACCAAGGCGCUUGAGAGAACUCGGGUGAAGGAACUAGGCAAAAUGGUGCCGUAACUUCGGGAGAAGGCACGCUGAUAUGUAGGUGAAGCGACUUGCUCGUGGAGCUGAAAUCAGUCGAAGAUACCAGCUGGCUGCAACUGUUUAUUAAAAACACAGCACUGUGCAAACACGAAAGUGGACGUAUACGGUGUGACGCCUGCCCGGUGCCGGAAGGUUAAUUGAUGGGGUUAGCGGUAACGCGAAGCUCUUGAUCGAAGCCCCGGUAAACGGCGGCCGUAACUAUAACGGUCCUAAGGUAGCGAAAUUCCUUGUCGGGUAAGUUCCGACCUGCACGAAUGGCGUAAUGAUGGCCAGGCUGUCUCCACCCGAGACUCAGUGAAAUUGAACUCGCUGUGAAGAUGCAGUGUACCCGCGGCAAGACGGAAAGACCCCGUGAACCUUUACUAUAGCUUGACACUGAACAUUGAGCCUUGAUGUGUAGGAUAGGUGGGAGGCUUUGAAGUGUGGACGCCAGUCUGCAUGGAGCCGACCUUGAAAUACCACCCUUUAAUGUUUGAUGUUCUAACGUUGGCCCGUAAUCCGGGUUGCGGACAGUGUCUGGUGGGUAGUUUGACUGGGGCGGUCUCCUCCUAAAGAGUAACGGAGGAGCACGAAGGUUGGCUAAUCCUGGUCGGACAUCAGGAGGUUAGUGCAAUGGCAUAAGCCAGCUUGACUGCGAGCGUGACGGCGCGAGCAGGUGCGAAAGCAGGUCAUAGUGAUCCGGUGGUUCUGAAUGGAAGGGCCAUCGCUCAACGGAUAAAAGGUACUCCGGGGAUAACAGGCUGAUACCGCCCAAGAGUUCAUAUCGACGGCGGUGUUUGGCACCUCGAUGUCGGCUCAUCACAUCCUGGGGCUGAAGUAGGUCCCAAGGGUAUGGCUGUUCGCCAUUUAAAGUGGUACGCGAGCUGGGUUUAGAACGUCGUGAGACAGUUCGGUCCCUAUCUGCCGUGGGCGCUGGAGAACUGAGGGGGGCUGCUCCUAGUACGAGAGGACCGGAGUGGACGCAUCACUGGUGUUCGGGUUGUCAUGCCAAUGGCACUGCCCGGUAGCUAAA
This 2506-nucleotide ribosomal RNA is filed under the name Escherichia coli. Its description in RNAcentral is "bacterial LSU rRNA". It matches the Rfam family "Bacterial large subunit ribosomal RNA", at positions 223 to 2753 of the family's 2925-position model. The record is from RNAcentral. Lineage: Bacteria; Pseudomonadati; Pseudomonadota; Gammaproteobacteria; Enterobacterales; Enterobacteriaceae.